AUGAGUGGGCGAUAGAAGAAGAGUUACUGCCUAUAUUAAAACCAUUCAUGGAGGUAACAGAAGAAAUAUCAGCAGAAAAGAAUGUAACCCUUUCAAAGGUUAUAGUUCUUGCGAUUUUGCUACAGAACUGUUUGAAUAACAAAACGCCUAAGGAUAAAUGUGUUGCUGCACUUGUUGCAGUUCUAAAAGCUGAGAUGAAUCGACGAUUUUGCAAGCUGGAAAGUAACGAACUCUACGCAGAGAGAGUUCAAGUCAAAAGAAGAAUACGAAAAAGCUGUUUGUAAUCUUAAAAGGAAAGUAACUCCAAUUCGUCUCAACAGCGAAAAUUAUGAAUUCGAAUCACCUGCGUUUGAAACUAAUUCAGCCAAUCAGAGUUCGGUUUGGUGUGAUUUUGACAGUGAGUUCAAGAACACGACAAAGGCUGCAAACACUACCGGUUCUGCCGAGAAAGAGAUGGAAAAAUACCUCGAAGAGGAAUUUAUACCGAGGACUGCUGACCCUUUGGUUUGGUGGGAACAAAGAAAGAAAUUGUAUCCGCAUCUAUAUUCUUACAGCCUUAAGCGACUAUGCCUUAUGGCUACAUCAGUUCCUUUCGAACGCCUAUUUUCAAGUGCUGGGGAAAUCAUCCGAAAAAGACGGAUGCUACUAAAACCUAAUAAAGUGGAAAAUCUAAUGUUCCUUCAUAGCAACAUGUAGAUGGAUCACAGAAAUCAAAUAAAUGCAUUAAAAUUACUAUAUUAUCUGUUUGUAAACUCUUUAUUAUUUCUUAUUAUUAUUAUGUAUAAGUGUUUUUGACAUAAAUUGAAUAAAUAAUAUUAAUUUUCAAUGACAGCAUUGUAUGAAAUAAA
Molecule: long non-coding RNA, 848 nt
Organism: Drosophila sechellia
Lineage: Eukaryota; Metazoa; Arthropoda; Insecta; Diptera; Drosophilidae
Exons: 2
Source: RefSeq, a predicted model, not a curated record